AGCGAACGCUGGCGGCAGGCCUAACACAUGCAAGUCGAACGAACUCUUCGGAGUUAGUGGCGGACGGGUGAGUAACACGUGGGAACGUGCCUUUAGGUUCGGAAUAACUCAGGGAAACUUGUGCUAAUACCGAAUGUGCCCUUCGGGGGAAAGAUUUAUCGCCUUUAGAGCGGCCCGCGUCUGAUUAGCUAGUUGGUGAGGUAAAGGCUCACCAAGGCGACGAUCAGUAGCUGGUCUGAGAGGAUGAUCAGCCACAUUGGGACUGAGACACGGCCCAAACUCCUGCGGGAGGCAGCAGUGGGGAAUCUUGCGCAAUGGGCGAAAGCCUGACGCAGCCAUGCCGCGUGAAUGAUGAAGGUCUUAGGAUUGUAAAAUUCUUUCACCGGGGACGAUAAUGACGGUACCCGGAGAAGAAGCCCCGGCUAACUUCGUG
RNAcentral lists this ribosomal RNA (433 nucleotides) under uncultured bacterium. RNAcentral describes it as "partial 16S ribosomal RNA". It matches the Rfam family "Bacterial small subunit ribosomal RNA", at positions 29 to 507 of the family's 1533-position model. The record is from RNAcentral.